AUUUUUCUGUAGCACCUGAAGACCAGCGACGCAAAUACUUAAGUCUGUGCAAAGUGUUCAGCAUUGGAUCUGAAUGAACAAAAGAAAUCAAUGGUAAACUCAGGAUUAGGACCUGAAUCUCUUUCUGAGAACAUUAAAUCAAGCCAGUAAACCUGCUUUUGAAAUUCUCUUCGUGCUACACGGAUCAGUUCUCAUCACACAGACUGCCUCAGUAGGAUUCAUGGGAUAUGUGUAACGACAUGAACUUAUUUCACGCCACAAUGGAUCGUGUCAUCCAAAGUCAUUAUUCCCAUUGGAAAUGCCGUGGUUGCUUGCAGGCUUGGGAGCAUUCGAUAUUCCUGCCUCAAGAUUCUGUGAUGGGAAUGAAAUUCACAGUACGUAGAAGAAUAUGUUAGUCAUCCAAGUUGGAGCUACAAGAGCAGACCCAGAUUUCCUUCAGCAGCCAUCCAGACAUUUCAAAGACUCAACUUGAAAACUGAUCCAAAAACCCCAGAGCAAGCUGCAAGAUCACUUGGAUUUCUUGAUAAAUCUAUAGAACCCAACUGGUGCAGAGCUUGAUGGCUGCUCCAAGCAUUUCUGCAAGCACAAUGGAAGAAGUAAGCAUGGGAAGGACUGAAUUUCAGUGACAGGUCAGGUGUCAGCAGAGGUGGCUUUGCUAGCAGGCUAGUUAGGGCUCCAAUUUAUCCAACAUAAUGAAUACACUUUCUCUCUCCAUUCUAAAACGAAAUUAGAAUCUGCCUCUGAAAAGUUGCUCAGUCCUCUAAUUUACAGUCUGCUAAAUACACAAAAUGUAUUAAGCUUCAUAAUGUUUGUACUGAGGGUCUAAUCAUGCUAAAAAUUGUGUCUUUAUAGAAACCUUCAGGCACAACACUGCAAAGUGAUGGCUGGAUUUGCACCUGCUUUGGCUGCUCUCAAAGCUAGCAUUAAAGAAACUCACUUUGGAACAGGAAUAGAUGAUGUCAAACCUUUCUUAAAUUAAAGAAAUGAAGGGUUUUGAAAGCAAAUACGAUGAAAAUUGGCCAGAUUUUUUUUUUUUAACCUUCUGAAACAAAUAAAGUAAACAGAAAUAUUUUCCACUCUUUGUUUAUGAGGGAAGGCUAAAAACAUCACUGUAAGGUCAAUUACUGUACACAGAAGUGUAUUAUUGACAGUGCAAGAAAUCCUUUCAUCAGUUACUGCAGACUGCUCUCAAAGCAAUGGACCCUGUCUUGAAUUACAUCACGCUAAUUAAUUUUCAAAGAACAUUUAGGGUGGUAACACUCAGAAAAAAUAAAAGUAGGCAAUAAAGUUUCUAUCCUGAAAUGCACUUGACACUGGAAAGAGCACGAAAUGACCGAGGUAGGGGGUGGGGAGGAAGGACAGCCCAGCUAGCCAACUUGCCUUACAGAAGCUCAGCCUAUGACUCUACUACUGUAUUUGCCUACCAUGUUAUUUUAAUCACGGGUAAUUACUGACAAACAAAAGCAAGUCAUGGCAGGGGAAGAACUGGAAUAAAGAAAUAAUUAAAAGCAUCCAGGGAUUUCUAUUAAGACCCGAUAUAGGAGAGUCAUUUUUUUAAAUUUUAAUAUUGCCAAGCUAGAACAUAAUUUAACCCAACAAAGCUCAGCUUUUAUUUAGGCAAUUAUCCUAUUGGAUUAAUAUUAUGGUU
Gallus gallus (chicken) is the source of this 1648-nucleotide long non-coding RNA. RefSeq lists it as uncharacterized. The record is from RefSeq and is a predicted model, not a curated record. The transcript has 3 exons. Lineage: Eukaryota; Metazoa; Chordata; Aves; Galliformes; Phasianidae.